Molecule: long non-coding RNA, 478 nt
Organism: Parus major (Great Tit)
Lineage: Eukaryota; Metazoa; Chordata; Aves; Passeriformes; Paridae
Exons: 2
Source: RefSeq, a predicted model, not a curated record
UUCUCGCGAGAUCACGCUCCCCCCCUCAACACACAACCUGCGCCGCGUUGUCCUUUUGUUCGCCGCCCUCGCGAGAGCGCCCCGCGCGAGCGCGCGGCGAGACGCCUCUAGAAGGAGGCGGGCCCUGAGUCACGUGGGCGGGCGCCGUCGCCAUCUUGUCGCUCCCCCCUCGGCGGGCAGUGGCGCAGCGCGUAAUGGCGGCGCGGCGGGAGGAGGGGCUGGUCCAGAACACAUCGGUCUUCUUGCCCCAAGUGCCGGCCCCGACACACCAACCUGCGGCUCUGCAGGCCUCAGACCGUACCCUGUGCUUACUACCCAGCGGCACAUGGCUGUGAGCCCCUCAUCCCAGGGUGGCUCCUGCCUCUUCCAAGAAGAAAACCACAGGAAAGUGCAUUCUCCAGAAGGAUGAUUCACCAUGGGAGUUAAAAACAAGACUGAACUUUUCCACACUAUUCAUGCAUUAAACAGCCCAUCUUUG